RNAcentral lists this unclassified non-coding RNA (531 nucleotides) under Zea mays. RNAcentral's name for it is "misc RNA Zm00001eb339920". The record is from RNAcentral. Lineage: Eukaryota; Viridiplantae; Streptophyta; Magnoliopsida; Poales; Poaceae.
UUGGCCUCUCGCCAUGGGUGGAGCUCAGAUGGGGACAAUGCUGCCAUGGGAGAGGAGCUUGGGUGUCCUCCAUGGCUGUUCAGAUCUCAGGCGCAGCAGGGGUUUAUUUUAGGCGCUGAAACAUGGAGGAGCAGAGGAAGGAAAGGGGGAGAUUGCAGGGGGGCGCCAUGGAGAAGCUUCUGCGCGGCGUCCAUUGCAGGGGAGGUGGAGCUCGUAGGGAGGGGCGCCGUGCAGGAGAGGGGUGCAGGGAACUCAGACUGGAGCUGGACGGUGUCAAGUUCCCUGCCAUGGGGGCGCUGCUUGGGCGCCAUGGCUGCUGGCCGAGCAGAGGCGUCGGGGCCUGGGCGUCUGCUGCUUGCUGUGUUUGCAAAAGAAGGUGUCGUGGGGAGCUUCUGUAGGGGAGUUCGGCUAGGGGCAAGCAGGGAGGAAGAUGAACAGGCGCUGGCUGCUGCUGCGCGAGGAAGAAGGAGCAAGGGGGCGCCGCGCCAUGGCUGCUGGGAGCAGCUGGAAAAAAAAUUCUGGGCGCCAUGA